This 1474-nucleotide long non-coding RNA is filed under the name Malus domestica (apple). RNAcentral describes it as "long non-coding RNA (MDOM_LNC008756)". Lineage: Eukaryota; Viridiplantae; Streptophyta; Magnoliopsida; Rosales; Rosaceae. The record is from RNAcentral.
CUGUGCUGAGGCUGUCCAGCAGGAAAACUUGAAGCUUGCAGACGCGCUUGUGAAGCACGUGGGCCUACUCGCGGCUGCCCAAACCGGAGCUAUGAGGAAAGUCGCCACGUACUUCGCUGAAGCUCUGGCUCGUCGGAUUUACCGAAUAUACCCUCAGGAUUGCCUCGAUUCUUCCUACUCGGACAUUCUCCAGAUGCACUUCUACGAGACCUGCCCCUACCUGAAAUUUGCUCACUUCACUGCCAACCAGGCAAUACUCGAGGCUUUUGCCACGGCGACCAGAGUACACGUCAUCGAUUUCGGGCUUAAACAGGGGAUGCAAUGGCCAGCGCUCAUGCAGGCGCUGGCACUAAGGCCCGGUGGCCCACCCGUGUUUCGCCUGACGGGUAUUGGGCCGCCGCAGCCCGAUAACACCGACGUUCUGCAGCAGGUGGGAUGGAAGUUGGCUCAAUUGGCAGAAACUAUUGGGGUCGAGUUUGAAUUUCGAGGAUUCGUGGCCAAUAGCCUGGCUGACCUCGAGCCGUCUAUGCUUGACAUCCGUCAGGACGAGGCCGUAGCGGUGAAUUCGGUUUUCAAGCUUCACGGUCUCUUGGCUCGAGCCGGGGCGGUGGACAAAGUGUUGUCAUCAAUCAAGGCCAUGAAGCCUAAAAUUGUGACUAUUGUGGAGCAGGAGGCGAACCAUAACGGGCCGGUUUUCUUGGACCGGUUCACGGAGGCAUUGCAUUAUUAUUCAAGCUUGUUUGACUCUCUGGAGGGAUCGUCCGGGCCGAGUCAAGAUUUGGUCAUGUCCGAGGUCUAUUUGGGUAGGCAGAUAUGCAACGUGGUGGCAUGUGAAGGUGGGGACCGAGUUGAGCGACACGAGACGCUGACUCAGUGGCGAGGCCGGAUGGACUCCGCCGGGUUCGACCCAGUCCACCUCGGAUCGAACGCGUUCAAGCAGGCUAGCAUGCUGCUUGAUCUUUUCGCCGGCGUAGAUGGGUAUCGGGUGCAGGAGAACAAUGGGUCUCUCAUGCUCGGGUGGCACACGCGGCCGCUCAUAGUCACCUCGGCUUGGAAGCUGGCGAGCUCAACGGAGUGAGUGAAUGAGUCAAUUUCAGUCGGUUCAGCGGCGGUGAUUGAUUGAACCACCGGGCACCCAGUGGGGUGGUUGGACACUGUGACCAUGUGAGUUGUGAAUUGUCAGUAGAGAGAGUGGGGACUACAAUGAAAGUGAAACUGUGAAACCAAUCCAAUCGAAUCAAUCAAGUGGUGUAAACUGUGUAGUUGUAAUUGUAAUGGUAGUUUUUUAUUUUUUUUUUCAUUUUUUUUAUGGGCCCUUUUGCAUAAGUUCCAAGUUGUAGAGUCCUUUCGACAAGGGGGACGAAUGAAUCAUUGUGACGAUGUGUAACUAUCUAUCUUUUCUGGAAUAAAAUGAUGAGCAUUGAUUCUUGAAUGGGAAAGAAACCAUUUUGCUCUCUGUAAAUUUGACACAUUA